AUUUUUUGUUCACUAGGGUAUAACUAAAAUCGGCUUGUAAAAGCUUCAGAUCUCUUGUCUGUCAUCUUUGAAGGUCCCUCCUUUUUAACCUCACCCACACUUUCUAUGGCUGUCCAAUCACAGACUUCCCAGUGCAGCACAAUGACAAGUCCCUACAAGGCAGGUGCCCUGAGCAAUUGCUGCCUCUUGAGUUCGGUUCCACUGAGCUAAACAACUGGGAAGUAACAGGAUCAGUUGAAUGGUUGACAGCCAGGGGACGUAACAAAAUGUAUUUCUAUUGAAAUCUGCAUUUUUUGUAAAAUGAAAAAAAGGACACUCUGUUCACACAUGAAGCACUUUAGAUUGCUGGAACACUUUUUAGGGUCCAUAGUGUAGUGGAGCUCCCUUUCCCCUGGCUGGGUACCUCCACCAAUGACCGCUUCCUAGCUGGAACCAGGAAAAACCGGCCCUCUUCUGCCCCAGUUUCCGUGGCUUGACUGGUGACCUCCUGGAGCCUCUCCGUCCUGGAGCAGGUUAGGGGACUAGCUCUAUUCUCUCCCAGGGACUGGAUAAAACACAGUCCUGGGAGCUGUAGACCUUACAAGGAUUUUCCCAGCUGAAGCCUCCACGAGCUGGAACAAGGUGCUGAGCAGUGAUUAGCCCAGGGCUGCCCAACAGGUAGAUCCCCAGAUGUUGUAGAACUACAACUCACAUGAUGCUUUAUCAUUCUAAAUGCAUUCUAAAAGCAUCAUGAGAGUUGUAGUUCUAUAACAUCUGGGGAUCUACCUGUUGUGUGACCUGGAUUAGCCAUUUCUUCUCCCAGUAACUAGACGACACAUAAUUCUGGGACUACUACUGAUUUUAAUGAGCCAAACUCUGCCUUUU
Non-coding RNA from Pelobates cultripes (western spadefoot toad), 864 nucleotides. NCBI's taxonomy places the organism in Eukaryota, Metazoa, Chordata, Amphibia, Anura, Pelobatidae. The record is from the annotation of a GenBank genome assembly.